Molecule: ribosomal RNA, 465 nt
Filed under: uncultured Klebsiella sp.
Lineage: Bacteria; Pseudomonadati; Pseudomonadota; Gammaproteobacteria; Enterobacterales; Enterobacteriaceae
Description: bacterial SSU rRNA
Rfam family: Bacterial small subunit ribosomal RNA
Source: RNAcentral
CCUACGGGUGGCUGCAGUGGGGAAUAUUGCACAAUGGGCGCAAGCCUGAUGCAGCCAUGCCGCGUGUGUGAAGAAGGCCUUCGGGUUGUAAAGCACUUUCAGCGGGGAGGAAGGCGUUAAGGUUAAUAACCUUGUCGAUUGGCGUUACCCGCAGAAGAAGCACCGGCAAACUCCGUGCCAGCAGCCGCGGUAAUACGGAGGGUGCAAGCGUUAAUCGGAAUUACUGGGCGUAAAGCGCACGCAGGCGGUCUGUCAAGUCGGAUGUGAAAUCCCCGGGCUCAACCUGGGAACUGCAUUCGAGACUGGCAGGCUAGAGUCUUGUAGAGGGGGGUAGAAUUCCGGGUGUAGCGGUGAAAUGCGUAGAGAUCUGGAGGAAUACCGGUGGCGAAGGCGGCCCCCUGGACAAAGACUGACGCUCAGGUGCGAAAGCGUGGGGAGCAAACAGGAUUAGAUACCCUUGUAGUC